UACGUAGGGACCAAGCGUUGUUCGGAUUUACUGGGCGUAAAGGGCGCGUAGGCGGCUUGACAGGUCACUUGUGAAAUCUCCGGGCUUAACUCGGAACGGCCAAGUGAAACUGUCAUGCUAGAGUGCAGAAGGGGCAGUCGGAAUUCUUGGUGUAGCGGUGAAAUGCGUAGAUAUCAAGAGGAACACCUGAGGUGAAGGCGGGUUGCUGGGCUGGCACUGACGCUGAGGCGCGAAAGCCAGGGGAGCAAACGGG
RNAcentral lists this ribosomal RNA (253 nucleotides) under uncultured bacterium. Its description in RNAcentral is "partial 16S ribosomal RNA". It matches the Rfam family "Bacterial small subunit ribosomal RNA", at positions 524 to 776 of the family's 1533-position model. The record is from RNAcentral.